Molecule: ribosomal RNA, 440 nt
Filed under: uncultured bacterium
Lineage: Bacteria
Description: partial 16S ribosomal RNA
Rfam family: Bacterial small subunit ribosomal RNA
Source: RNAcentral
CCUACGGGAGGCAGCAGUAGGGAAUAUUGCUCAAUGGGGGAAACCCUGAAGCAGCAACGCCGCGUGGAGGAUGAAGGUUUUCGGAUUUUAAACUCCUUUUGUUAGAGAAGAUAAUGACGGUAUCUAACGAAUAAGCACCGGCUAACUCCGUGCCAGCAGCCGCGGUAAUACGGAGGGUGCAAGCGUUACUCGGAAUCACUGGGCGUAAAGAGCGCGUAGGCGGGAUAGCAAGUCAGAUGUGAAAUCCUAUGGCUUAACCAUAGAACUGCAUUUGAAACUGUUAUUCUAGAGUAUGGGAGAGGUAGGUGGAAUUCUUGGUGUAGGGGUAAAAUCCGUAGAGAUCAAGCGGAAUACUCAUUGCGAAGGCGACCUGCUAGAACAUAACUGACGCUGAUGCGCGAAAGCGUGGGGAGCAAACAGGAUUAGAUACCCCUGUAGUC